Branchiostoma floridae (Florida lancelet) is the source of this 400-nucleotide long non-coding RNA. RefSeq lists it as uncharacterized. NCBI's taxonomy places the organism in Eukaryota, Metazoa, Chordata, Leptocardii, Amphioxiformes, Branchiostomatidae. The record is from RefSeq and is a predicted model, not a curated record. The transcript has 3 exons.
UUUGCCUGUUUCGGCUAUUCCACUUAGAUGUACCAACUUCAGCUAGGGGUUUUAUACAGACAUUAUUGCAGAUGUCCAUGUUACUAUAUUAUCUUUGCUUUAUCUAUUUUUUCCAAUCUUUUUUUCUCCGCAGUCUCUUUAUUUUCGGUGUACAUAGAAAUAAAAGUGAAAAACAACAAUUGCGUGUUGUUUGUGUGUUGGCUCCCCCCUUUGACAGAAUGGCGUCAUCCCCAGUGAAAGUUACUCGGGUGGUCUACACUUUGUUUGGCAUACCGUCUGUGAGCGUUAUCUCGUUUUCAUUCAAGUGUUUGAUAUUAAAACCUUGUACUUUGACUUAAUCACUCUAACGGACUUUAUGACCAAGCCAGCAUGUACAGGUUCGUAGAGAACAUCGUGACCU